Molecule: ribosomal RNA, 494 nt
Filed under: uncultured bacterium
Lineage: Bacteria
Description: partial 16S ribosomal RNA
Rfam family: Bacterial small subunit ribosomal RNA
Source: RNAcentral
GACGAACGCUGGCGGCGUGCUUAACACAUGCAAGUCGAACGGAAAGGCCUGCUUUCCCUUGUGGAUUGCGGGUACUCGAGUGGCGAACGGGUGAGUAACACGUGAGUGAUCUGCCCCCAACUUGGGUAUAAGCCUGGGAAACUGGGUCUAAUUCCCGAUAGGACUGCAGGGUGGUGCCUGUGGUGGAAAACGAUUUUCUAGUGGUUGGGGAUGAGCUCGCGGCCUAUCAGCUUGUUGGUGGGGUAAUGGCCUACCAAGGCGGCGACGGGUAGCCGGCCUGAGAGGGUGGACGGCCACAGUGGGACUGAGAUACGGCCCAGACUCCGACGGGAGGCAGCAGUGGGGAAUAUUGCACAAUGGGCGGAAGCCUGAUGCAGCGACGCCGCGUGGGGGAUGACGGCCUUCGGGUGGUAAACUCCUUUCGACCGCGAGGAAGCCACCUGGUUGGAAGGGUGGUGACGGUAGUGGUAGAAGAAGCACCGGCUAACUACGUG